Sardina pilchardus (European sardine) is the source of this 306-nucleotide long non-coding RNA. RefSeq lists it as uncharacterized. Lineage: Eukaryota; Metazoa; Chordata; Actinopteri; Clupeiformes; Clupeidae. The transcript is spliced from 2 exons. The record is from RefSeq and is a predicted model, not a curated record.
CGUUCUGCCCAGCAGUUGGAGAAACAUAACUGCGAUGACCAGGCUGGCCCCUCCAACUUCAGCACUCAGGACCAGGCUAGCCCCUCCAACGUCAGCACUAAGGACAAGUCCUCUUGGAGCCGUAAAGCUGGAAAAGCCUGGUCCAAAUUCCAGAAGAAAUUCUCCAGAAAAAGAUCAAAGUGAUGCAACCAGGACUAAGAGGCCUACGAUCUUACUUAAUGGAUGACACCCUCACGUCCUAAAGCCCCUUCCAUCCUCCGUGCCCCCCCACCCCAUUACACCCUAUUAAAUGGCAUUUCAAAUGUA